GUGCUCGCUUUGGGAGCUCAUAGGGUAAAACUGGGUAGAUACAGAGAAGAUUAGCGUGGCCUCUGUGCAAGGAUGAUGCACAAAUUCCCCCUGCUUUCUCCUUUU
RNAcentral lists this small nuclear RNA (105 nucleotides) under Mus caroli (Ryukyu mouse). The record is from RNAcentral. Lineage: Eukaryota; Metazoa; Chordata; Mammalia; Rodentia; Muridae.